Molecule: ribosomal RNA, 500 nt
Filed under: uncultured Glomeromycotina
Lineage: Eukaryota; Fungi; Glomeromycota
Description: partial small subunit ribosomal RNA
Rfam family: Eukaryotic small subunit ribosomal RNA
Source: RNAcentral
CAAAUAGCGUAUAUUAAAGUUGUUGCAGUUAAAAAGCUCGUAGUUGAAUUUCGGGGUUAGUAGGUUGGUCAUGCCUCUGGUAUGUACUGGUCUCACUGAUUCCUCCUUCCUGAUGAACCGUAAUGCCAUUAAUUUGGUGUUGCGGGGAAUUUGGACUGUUACUUUGAAAAAAUUAGAGUGUUUAAAGCAAGCUAACGCUUGAAUACAUUAGCAUGGAAUAAUGAAAUAGGACGUUCGAUCCUAUUUUGUUGGUUUCUAGGAUUGACGUAAUGAUUAAUAGGGAUAGUUGGGGGCAUUAGUAUUCAAUUGUCAGAGGUGAAAUUCUUGGAUUUAUUGAAGACUAACUACUGCGAAAGCAUUUGCCAAGGAUGUUUUCAUUAAUCAAGAACGAAAGUUAGGGGAUCGAAGACGAUCAGAUACCGUCGUAGUCUUAACCAUAAACUAUGUCGACUAGGGAUCGGAUGAUGUUAAUUUUUUAAUGACUCAUUCGGCGCCUUACG